This 976-nucleotide ribosomal RNA is filed under the name Lactiplantibacillus pentosus. Its description in RNAcentral is "bacterial SSU rRNA". It matches the Rfam family "Bacterial small subunit ribosomal RNA", at positions 368 to 1336 of the family's 1533-position model. The record is from RNAcentral. Lineage: Bacteria; Bacillati; Bacillota; Bacilli; Lactobacillales; Lactobacillaceae.
ACAAUGGACGAAAGUCUGAUGGAGCAACGCCGCGUGAGUGAAGAAGGGUUUCGGCUCGUAAAACUCUGUUGUUAAAGAAGAACAUAUCUGAGAGUAACUGUUCAGGUAUUGACGGUAUUUAACCAGAAAGCCACGGCUAACUACGUGCCAGCAGCCGCGGUAAUACGUAGGUGGCAAGCGUUGUCCGGAUUUAUUGGGCGUAAAGCGAGCGCAGGCGGUUUUUUAAGUCUGAUGUGAAAGCCUUCGGCUCAACCGAAGAAGUGCAUCGGAAACUGGGAAACUUGAGUGCAGAAGAGGACAGUGGAACUCCAUGUGUAGCGGUGAAAUGCGUAGAUAUAUGGAAGAACACCAGUGGCGAAGGCGGCUGUCUGGUCUGUAACUGACGCUGAGGCUCGAAAGUAUGGGUAGCAAACAGGAUUAGAUACCCUGGUAGUCCAUACCGUAAACGAUGAAUGCUAAGUGUUGGAGGGUUUCCGCCCUUCAGUGCUGCAGCUAACGCAUUAAGCAUUCCGCCUGGGGAGUACGGCCGCAAGGCUGAAACUCAAAGGAAUUGACGGGGGCCCGCACAAGCGGUGGAGCAUGUGGUUUAAUUCGAAGCUACGCGAAGAACCUUACCAGGUCUUGACAUACUAUGCAAAUCUAAGAGAUUAGACGUUCCCUUCGGGGACAUGGAUACAGGUGGUGCAUGGUUGUCGUCAGCUCGUGUCGUGAGAUGUUGGGUUAAGUCCCGCAACGAGCGCAACCCUUAUUAUCAGUUGCCAGCAUUAAGUUGGGCACUCUGGUGAGACUGCCGGUGACAAACCGGGAGGAAGGUGGGGAUGACGUCAAAUCAUCAUGCCCCUUAUGACCUGGGCUACACACGUGCUACAAUGGAUGGUACAACGAGUUGCGAACUCGCGAGAGUAAGCUAAUCUCUUAAAGCCAUUCUCAGUUCGGAUUGUAGGCUGCAACUCGCCUACAUGAAGUCGGAAUCGCU